GAUGAACGCUGGCGGCGUGCCUAACACAUGCAAGUCGAGCGAGAAACCUCUUUGAAGAUACUUCGGUUGAUUCUGUGAGGCGGAAAGCGGCGGACGGGUGAGUAACGCGUAGGCAACCUGCCCCAUGCAGAGGGAUAGCCUCGGGAAACCGGGAUUAAAACCUCAUAAUACGCAGACAAGACAUCUUGACUGCGUCAAAGAUUUAUCGGCAAGGGAUGGGCCUGCGUCUGGUUAGUUAGUUGGUGAGGUAACGGCUCACCAAGGCGACGAUCAGUAGCCGACCUGAGAGGUUUAUCCCCCACAUUGGUACUGAGACACGGACCAA
RNAcentral lists this ribosomal RNA (325 nucleotides) under uncultured bacterium. RNAcentral describes it as "bacterial SSU rRNA". It matches the Rfam family "Bacterial small subunit ribosomal RNA", at positions 28 to 334 of the family's 1533-position model. The record is from RNAcentral.